RNAcentral lists this non-coding RNA (21 nucleotides) under Caenorhabditis elegans. The record is from RNAcentral. Lineage: Eukaryota; Metazoa; Nematoda; Chromadorea; Rhabditida; Rhabditidae.
UGAUGUUCCUUGAGACUUUAA